GACGAACGCUGGCGGCGUGCUUAACACAUGCAAGUCGAACGGUGAAGCGCCUUCCUUUUUGGUGGGUGUGGAUGAGUGGCGAACGGGUGAGUAACACGUGAGUAACCUGCCCCCUUCUUCUGGAUAACCGCAUGAAAGUGUGGCUAAUACGGGAUAUUCUGGGUCUGUCGCAUGAUGGGUCUGGGAAAGAUAUUGUUUCGGUGGGGGAUGGGCUCGCGGCCUAUCAGCUUGUUGGUGGGGUGAUGGCCUACCAAGGCGGUGACGGGCAGCCGGCCUGAGAGGGUGGACGGUCACACUGGGACUGAGACACGGCCCAGACUCCUACGCGAGGCAGCAGUGGGGAAUAGUGCACAGUGGGCGCAAGCGUGAUGCAGCGACGCCGCGGGAGGGAUGGAGGCCUUCGGGUUGUGAACCUCUUUCGCCAGUGAAGCAGGCCUGCCUCGUUUGUGGGUGGGUUGACGGUAGCUGGAUAAGAAGCGCCGGCUAACUACGUG
This 494-nucleotide ribosomal RNA is filed under the name uncultured bacterium. RNAcentral describes it as "partial 16S ribosomal RNA". It matches the Rfam family "Bacterial small subunit ribosomal RNA", at positions 28 to 507 of the family's 1533-position model. The record is from RNAcentral.